GUUUGUUUGUGGUCUUUCUGUUUCUAGGUGGAAGCUGAAUUAGUGAGGAUGACUCCUGCUCCUGUCAUCUCUAAGCUCCUCACACAUCUUUACCUGCACAUGAGGAAAAUCACUCCUGUAGAAUGCAGAUGUUCAGAGGGAGAUGAUGCCACAUCUGGUCCAGCUGAUGGAAGGUCUUGAAGUUCUCUGACUGGCCUCGACUGAAGAUGGUCGUCUCACUGGAUUUAAGGUUCAGAUGCUCAGUAACAAACUCCACCAUUGUGCCAACAGGGAAGCUUUAGGUUUAUUAAAUGUUGCUAUGAAGGUUUCGCUGUUUUUCUUUGUGAAUGCAAUGUGCUCCAACUGAAACUUGAAUUAGAACUUAGAAGUAAAUCCUUCCAUCUGAAAGGAUUUAGUUGCAUUAAUAACCUCAUAACAUUCUAAUUUUUAUUCCAGUCUUGGUUGAAAAUAGAAUCUCUGUAUUGAUUCAGGUAAAAACUGAACUUCACAGCAUGUUGGAGCAAAGCAACCAGAUGAAAACUGUGAUGGUGUUGGAUUGUCAGACCGUAAUGUUGCAGCUUAAAGCAGCUUUUCUAUCUCGGUUCAUUCUGACAUUCAGCUAUGAAUCAACACAGCAGAUGGUGAUCCAUGCUGUGGAAGUCUCACAUCUCCUGAUUUAAUGGAGCUGCUUUGCACUUUUUACACUUUUUAUUCACCAACACUUUAUUUAUUAAAAGUCCCAUCUAGUUUUUAUGAGGAAUGUGAUGUUUUAAUUUCUCUGUGAAUAACUGCAGUCUAAUGUAACAGCUGGAGUUGUAACAUCUGUCCUGAUAUUGAUCAUGAAGUAUUGAUCAGAAUACUUAUGGUUAGCAGUCAUCCCUGAAGUUUUACAUUAAAAUCUUUAGUUGUGUUGUGAACUUUGGUAAGAAGCAGAAACAUUAGCGUUGCCAUGGAUAUAUGAGUGUUAAAUUCUGUCCAUGUUUCCAUUUUGGGAAAUGCAGUCCAGUUCCAGAAUGUGGAGGAAUUUAGUCUCACAAUCACAGACAACAAAUAUUAUCUGAAAGUCGGGUUAUUGUUGUUUAUCAGCACAAUACAAAAAGAUUAAUGUUAGAAAUAUUCCAGUUAAGACACUAGAAUAUCGUGAUUUAUGUAAAUUUACCUCAAUAAUAUUAAUGUUCAGGUUAAGAUUGUACAGUGAUAUUUAUGAUGUAAGUUUAGCUGAUUAAAGUUUAUGACUGCACUAAAAUAUUAUUUAAAUUGACAUCAUUAUUAUAAUAUUUAGGGUCAGACCCUACAGUAUUGAGAUUAAGAAAUAUAUAUACAUAUAAAAUGUAAAUACACUGAACUCAUUUGGAUAUAUUUAAGUGAGACUCUACAAUAUUAUUUAUGACACAAAUCUAUUCAAAUCAAAAUUUUAAUCAUUUUUACUCCAAACAUUUACUGGACUGAUUUAAAUAUUAAAAUCACUCCUUUCUGAUCCUCUGCUGUACAUUCAAACCUGAGGCCUUAAAUAGAAACACACAAGUAUCUGUUUGAAGGAACUUCUGUAGAAUCCUGGUUCCAGAACAUGAUGAUAGAAUUAUAGACAAACUAGAGGUCGACCGAUAUGGGAAUUUCAAAGGCCGAUGCUGAUACCGAUUUUUAAAAAAACUUUCAGCCGAUGGCUGAUAUCUAAAGCCGAUUGUAGAAGCCGAUUUUUAAGGCCGAUAUCCUUUUUUUUUUUUUUUUUUUUACAGCACAUCGAUUACAAAAGGCAAUUUAAACUCUAAAAGUAUAUACAUGUAUAUAUUACAAAUUAAAUACACUAGUAGAACUCUAACAUUUAUUGAACACAAAAAGUGAAAAAGUACAAUAACAUAAAAAAAAUACUUAAAGUUUACAAAAAAUACAAUUAAAAAGUCACCUGAAAGUGGUUAGGGUUAGGCUUGUUGUUGCCUGGCUCACUCGCUCAUGCUCCGCUCUCUGAGUGCCGGGGGUCCUUCUAAGGGAAAAGCGGUCGCGGCAGCUGCCCGUACGGGUGCCUGAUCACAAAUCGGCUUUUUAUUUGUAAAUAUCGGCCGAUGGCCGAUUUUGAAAAAAGUCCAUAUAUCGGCCCAAAAUAUCGGCCGGUCGAUAUAUCGGUCUACCUCUAAGACAAACUUUAACAAAAGCAGACUGAGAGUUUACAGUUUUUUAUGUUGGAUUUCUUCAGUAAUUUGAUGAACGUUAUCAGCAAAAAUCAAGUGUUCAUUUGAUGAACUUCAUUUCCUAAAACAUCCAGAAUUGGAGCUCAUAUCUUUGGCAGCUGUAAAGUUUCUGCUCCUUCAAAGUUCACAACACAAUGAAUGAAUGAAUUCCUAAAACACUCAAUGCUGGAGAGCGUUUGUGAUGCUGAAGCAGUGACCAGUUUUUCUGUUUCUUCUCUGGAGAUGCACAAUGAGGGACGUCUGCAGAGACUGAGAAAGAGUCUCACCACAUCCUGACAUCAGGAAAAAGACUUUAUUGAAGACUACAAUGAGAAAAACUAUCAGACAGCAGACGGCUGCAUUCAAGGUGAGCUCUGAACAUCUGAUCUGGAACAGGAAUUCAAUAACGGCAGCAUGAGCUUCAUUUCAGUCUGUAGCUGCUGAAUUCAUGGAUGAAUCAUCUGGCACUAGAGAAGAAGACCAUCAAACAUCCACGUCAGCUGAUGGAGGUCCAAGAGUCUCACUGAACAACCAACCUACAGAGUGAAGACCUCGAAUCUGAUUGGACGGCCUCCUAUUCAGCCACAUGUGUGAACAAAUGCCUCUAAGUUGAUUUGUUUUCUAAAAUAAAUCUAGUUUGAGUCAUAAUCUAUGCCUGUGUGUUUGCUUCUUUACACCGCUGUUAACAGUUUAGGCUGUUAGAUUGUUCCAGAUAAGACAAGUACAAGAUUCUUCAGAGCCGUUCUACCACGAGCCUGACAGGAAGAACUCCAACAGCUACUGAAUGUUCCUGUGGUCCCCUCAAGGCUACAGGAGGAGCCCUACGAGGACGAGCCGGUCCACCUGAUGGUGGCCAGUCGCUGUGGUUCAAAGCCAACACCGACUACGUGGACUUCUACUGGAGCACACGGAGGCCUUCAAACUGGACCAACAAGUUCAGCGACUCCCCGACUCGUGGGUCUGAGGACGCCGCCGAGCCUCGGCCCAGCCGGCCUCCUGUCUGUGGGUGUUUGAGUGCUGAGAGACCUGACCGUGAACACCGUUGACACCCACCUGAGGGAGAUGCUGCCUAAGAUCUCAAGGCUGCUUGGUCGUGGUCUUUCUGGUCCUGCUCCAGAACGCCUUCAUCAACUACAUCUUCUUUUGAAGAGGCCCUCAG
This is a long non-coding RNA of Amphiprion ocellaris (clown anemonefish), 3303 nucleotides long. RefSeq lists it as uncharacterized. The record is from RefSeq and is a predicted model, not a curated record. Lineage: Eukaryota; Metazoa; Chordata; Actinopteri; Pomacentridae. The transcript is spliced from 3 exons.